CAUGGACACAAUGCACUUUCACAUGACAUGUUGGGGAUCGGAGAGUGACAAACUUGCACACUAUCAGUGGUUAUGGAUUUGAGAAAAUGUAAGGCUCUGCAUAGGCUGAUGAGACAAGGAGGGAUGGCCGUUGGAGGGGUGAUGUCACAGAUAAUUGGCGUGAAUGUACUGACUAAGCUGAACUGGAAGUUGAGAGCUUAGUUAGAGACAGAGAUAUAAAAGCACCCCCAUCUAGAUCCACCGAGCCGAUGCACCGCGAGGGGAGAUUGAGAGACAAUACCCAAGACGUCUGGAGCGCAAUUCUUUUCCCAUGGUCUGCUGCUCCUCGAAGAUGGCCUGAAAAAGCGGGCAAGCUGAGGUGACAAUUAAUUUGCACCAUAUAAUCCACCUCUCCUUCUAUUACAGGGCCCUGGUCGUGGGAUUCAUGCCAAGUCUUGCACAUCGGAGCCCGAGGAGGCUGCUUUGGGCAGGAACAAUUUCAUCAGCCGAAGAUGAUUGAUGAGUUAGAUGGUCUGGGCCAAAGGCUGCAGAUAACGCCGUCCCUCUACAGAUAUCUCCACAAAUCCCCCCUUGACCUCCGGGCCAACCCAACUCGUCCCCUGUUCCUGCCAACAGUCCGCCCCGGGCCUUCAUACCCCCAUCACAUGGCAGCUGGUGCUGGCGCUGACUAGCUCUGGCAGCAGAGCAAGGCUUCAUUCUCAGUAGGUUGAGAGGAUGUCUGUCCCUAAACCCCGCCACAGUUAGCUUGGGCAUUGUGAAGCAAAAAUCAAUAGCAUAGAAUCCAAA
This is a long non-coding RNA of Hypomesus transpacificus, 786 nucleotides long. RefSeq lists it as uncharacterized. The transcript is spliced from 4 exons. Lineage: Eukaryota; Metazoa; Chordata; Actinopteri; Osmeriformes; Osmeridae. The record is from RefSeq and is a predicted model, not a curated record.